GGGCCCGCACAAGCGGUGGAGUAUGUGGUUUAAUUCGAUGCAACGCGAAGAACCUUACCAGGGUUUGACAUCCUGCGAAUCUCUUGGAAACUUGAGAGUGCCUUCGGGAGCGCAGUGACAGGUGGUGCAUGGCUGUCGUCAGCUCGUGUCGUGAGAUGUUGGGUUAAGUCCCGCAACGAGCGCAACCCUCACUUUUAGUUGCCAUCAUUAAGUUGGGCACUCUGAAAGAACUGCCAGUGAUAAGCUGGAGGAAGGUGGGGAUGACGUCAAGUCCUCAUGGCCCUUACGUGUUGGGCUACACACGUGCUACAAUGGUAUCUACAACAGGAAGCAAAACGGCGACGUUAAGCAAAUCCUUAAAAGAUACCUCAGUUCGGAUUGCACUCUGCAACUCGAGUGCAUGAAGCUGGAAUU
Molecule: ribosomal RNA, 414 nt
Filed under: uncultured bacterium
Lineage: Bacteria
Description: bacterial SSU rRNA
Rfam family: Bacterial small subunit ribosomal RNA
Source: RNAcentral